AGAGUUUGAUCAUGGCUCAGAACGAACGCUGGCGGCAGGCCUAACACAUGCAAGUCGAGCGCCCAGCAAUGGGAGCGGCAGACGGGUGAGUAACGCGUGGGAAUCUUCCCAGUGGUACGGAAUAGCUCAGGGAAACUUGGGGUAAUACCGUAUAAGCCCUUCGGGGGAAAGAUUUAUUGCCAUUGGAUGAGCCCGCGUUGGAUUAGCUAGUUGGUGAGGUAACGGCUCACCAAGGCGACGAUCCAUAGCUGGUCUGAGAGGAUGAUCAGCCACACUGGGACUGAGACACGGCCCAGACUCCUACGGGAGGCAGCAGUGGGGAAUAUUGGACAAUGGGCGCAAGCCUGAUCCAGCCAUGCCGCGUGAGUGACGAAGGUCUUCGGAUUGUAAAGCUCUUUUGGCGGGGACGAUAAUGACGGUACCCGCAGAAUAGC
This 434-nucleotide ribosomal RNA is filed under the name uncultured Hyphomicrobium sp. Its description in RNAcentral is "bacterial SSU rRNA". It matches the Rfam family "Bacterial small subunit ribosomal RNA", at positions 8 to 491 of the family's 1533-position model. The record is from RNAcentral. Lineage: Bacteria; Pseudomonadati; Pseudomonadota; Alphaproteobacteria; Hyphomicrobiales; Hyphomicrobiaceae.